Molecule: small RNA, 67 nt
Filed under: Listeria monocytogenes serotype 4b str. LL195
Lineage: Bacteria; Bacillati; Bacillota; Bacilli; Caryophanales; Listeriaceae
Description: GRIK4 3 prime UTR element
Source: RNAcentral
UAGCGGCAGAAGUAGAAACAAAGUGGGGGGCGGAUGUUGUUAUCGUCCACCGACUAGGACUUUUACA